CACAUAUAUAUGUAUAUAGAUAUGUGAAUGCGCAUGGCUCAUUGGUUAGGACGUCGGGUUCACAGUCGUGAAGUUGUGAGUUCGACUCCCGGGCCGGGCUGUAUGUUGUGUUCUUGAGCAAGACACUUUAUUUCACGUUACUCCAGAUCUCUCAUCUGUAGAAAUGUGUUGUGACAUCACUAGUGCCAAGCUCUUUCGGUCUUUGCCUUUAUCUCGGAUAACAUCGGUG
Molecule: long non-coding RNA, 229 nt
Organism: Octopus sinensis (East Asian common octopus)
Lineage: Eukaryota; Metazoa; Mollusca; Cephalopoda; Octopoda; Octopodidae
Exons: 3
Source: RefSeq, a predicted model, not a curated record